RNAcentral lists this ribosomal RNA (253 nucleotides) under uncultured bacterium. RNAcentral describes it as "partial 16S ribosomal RNA". It matches the Rfam family "Bacterial small subunit ribosomal RNA", at positions 524 to 776 of the family's 1533-position model. The record is from RNAcentral.
UACGGGGGGGGCAAGCGUUGUUCGGAAUUACUGGGCGUAAAGGGCUCGUAGGCGGCUCGGAAAGUCGGGCGUGAAAUGCCGGGGCUCAACCCCGGGACUGCGUCCGAUACUUCCGAGCUGGAGGUAGGUAGGGGAGAUCGGAAUUCCUGGUGUAGCGGUGAAAUGCGCAGAUAUCAGGAGGAACACCGGUGGCGAAGGCGGAUCUCUGGGCCUUACCUGACGCUGAGGCGCGAAAGCUAGGGGAGCGAACAGG